GGGGAGGCCUGAGAGAUGGUGGUUUACCCUGUGGCGGAUGUUAGCGGUCUGAGUCCACUUAUCUCCAGCCCGUGAUCCUAGCCAAUACAAUGGUAUAUGAUAGCACAUAAUUAUAUGAAAAUGAGCAUAGAUCUGGAGAUUCCUGAAUAGGUUAACCUUUUUAAUUGUUGCUUAAUCCAUGGGCAAGCAAGAGACAACUUGGAAAACUGAAACAUUUUAGUAGCCAGAGGAAUAGAAAGAAAAAGUGAUUCCCGUAGUAGCGACGAGCAAAAUGGGAGCACCCUAAACCGUGAAAACUAGGUUGUGGGAGAGCACAAUAUAAGAUCUGUGCUGCUAGUUGAAGCAGUUGAGUCCUAUACCCUAGAUGGUGAGAGUCCAGUAGCCAAAACCAUAAUUGGGUUCUACUCUAACCCAAGUAGCAUGGGGCAUGUGGAAUCCCGUGUGAAUUAUAAAGGACCAUGUUGCAAGGCUAAAUACUCCUGGGUGACCGAUAGUGAAGUAGUACCAUGAGGGAAAGGUGAAAAUGACCCCCAUCAGGGAAUGAAAUAGAACAUGAAACUGUAAUCUCCCAAGCAGUGGGAGGAAAAUGAUAUCUCUGACCAUGUGCCUAUUGAAGAAUGAGCCGACAACUUAUAGGCAGUGGCUUGGUUAAGGGAACCCACCGAAUCCGUAGUGAGAGCGAGUCUUCAUGGGGAAAUUGUCACUACUUAUGGACCUGAACCUAGGUGAUCUAUCCAUGACCAGGAUGAAGCUUGGGUGAAACCAAGUGGAGGUCUAAACCGACUGAUGUUGAAAAAUCAGCUGAUGAGUCGUGGUUAGGGGUGAAAUGCCACUCGAACCCGUAGCUAGUUGGUUCUCCCUGAAAUGCAUUGAGGUGCAACAGUUUACUAGGUCAUCUAGAGGUAAAGCAUGAUUUUGGUAUGGGCCACGAGAGAGGUACCAAAUCAAGGCAAACUCUUAAUACUAGAUUUCCCCAAUAAAAGGGGUAAAGUUCAGUCAGUGAGAUGAUGGGGGAUAAGCUUCAUCGUCGAGAGGGAAACAACCCAGAUCAUCAGCUAAGGCCCCUAAAUGACCGCUUAGUGAUGAAGGAAGUAAGAGUGCAAAGACAUCCAGGAGGUUUUCCUAGAAGCAACCAACCGUGAAAGAGUGUGUAAUAGCUCACUGAUUGAGCACUCUUAUGUCGAAGAUGAAUGGGACUAAGCGAUCUGUUGAAGCUGUGGGAUGUAAAAAUACAUCGGUAGGGGAGAAAAAUGGACCAAAUAUGCUAAGGCUACUAUCUUGGAAGGUAGUGGAGCCAAAUCACCCAACAAGGAAGUAAGUGCCUAGUUUGGUGUAAGUUGGUAGGAAUCAACAUAUUUUAAAUGCGAGACUAGGCACUCAAUUUACCUUAAUUUACCUUAAUUUACCACCUCAUCAC
Molecule: non-coding RNA, 1417 nt
Organism: Picea glauca (white spruce)
Lineage: Eukaryota; Viridiplantae; Streptophyta; Pinopsida; Pinales; Pinaceae
Source: Rfam